GGCGCGGAGGAGGGGCCUAGGAAGCGCGCUGGGGGCGGGCGUGGGUCUUGGAGGACCCCGGCCCCGCCUCGGCUGCCGCUUUGCCAGCCCUCCAAGCCGCAGCGAGUUCUACCCACGGCGAAUCCGCCAAACAAAGCAUCGACUGCUGGACGAGGUCAAGGUUGCGAGUUACCGCCUCAAAUUUAUGCAAAAAAUAGCUAUAAGAGAAGCUGGGAAAGCUGGUCCAAGUACCUGACUUCUUACUUGGGCCUUGCUAAGUUUCUGAGACUGGUCUUGAACUUGGGAUCCUCCUGCCUCAACAUCUGGAAUUACAGUUCAUCUGGCAGGAAGCUAAGAUCCACAGAUGAGAAAUCACCGGACGUUUCUCUGACUUCAAGUUGUGAACUAAGUGCAAUCUCUGAAUUGGAUGGAUUAGGGAAGCUGUUCAAUUACUAUUACCCAGCACCUGAGGGCAGCAGCUGAUGUAAAAACGUGUUCCAUUGCUCCAUGCAUUACCACCUGCUUUACACAAGGCACAGACCUGGGAUCUGGAUUUUGAGCCCUGCUUACAGAACAACUGAAUGAUCACAUGCAUCAUGUUGCAUCCUCUGAGUGACCAAGCUCCCUCAACUAACACAAUAUCUGGCUGGAUCCUAUCGGACUGCUCUAUUAUUACAAGACCAGCAGAUGGCAGGGGUGACUUGUUCAAAGAACUUGCUUAGAAACAUGAAGUUAUUAUCUUGAAACAAGAUUUCUGACGGCUUUCAUUUUGAAUUAUAUAAUUUUAGACCCCAUCUCUCCCCAUCCCCACUCCCACCCUAAGAAAAGUGGGUACAAAUGGGCCCUAAUUCCUCUUCAUGGUUUCUUCACUUAAGCCUAGGAAUUCAGGACCGCCUUGGGCAUCAUAGCAAGACCCUGUCUCUUAGGGAUGGAAGCCACAGGUGCCUACAGUUCACAUUUCCGUAAACCCCAUAACCAACAACUCCCCCAGGGAGACUUUCUUUAGCCUAUCUUUGGCAUCAAACGCUGCCAUAGCUUCAAGUACAGCACCAGUGCUGAGCGGAAUAGGAGUCUACCUUUGCCUCAGAGAGGCAGAGCCCCGUAGUAGCCAGAAAAGACUAGGGGAAGCAAAGGGAACUCCGUCGUGUUUCGCCUUGGCGCUCAGCAGUAGGGCGGGGCCUUGACUCCGGGACAGUAGUUUCCAGGCUCACCUGGGCAGCGCAUCGGUCCAGGUAGAGCUCCAGGUGCUAAUGGACGCUGUCCCUAAAGACUUGCUGUGUUUGUCAUUUUCCCAGGAAAAUGGUUCGAUUUCUUGUAACAUUAAGGGUCUCAAGGGAUACCCCCCAACGUGACAGAGCAUAUUCAAAAGGAAGAAAACAGGAUUGCAAACCUUGGAGGGAGAAGCAACUGCCAUCAGGACAGUAAAGGGCAUUCCCAGCCUUAAGACCUGGUCUUACAGUCUAGACUGCUGGCACCAGCUGCAAGGAGCUAUGAUCCCAGAGACUCAGAAGACUGAGGCAGGCGGAUCAGGAGAGGCCUGGACAAUAUAUAAGACCCCCAUCUCUAAAAAGAAAAAAAAA
Marmota monax (woodchuck) is the source of this 1559-nucleotide long non-coding RNA. RefSeq lists it as uncharacterized. The record is from RefSeq and is a predicted model, not a curated record. The transcript is spliced from 7 exons. Lineage: Eukaryota; Metazoa; Chordata; Mammalia; Rodentia; Sciuridae.